GAGAGGAGUUAUUUGUGCAUACUUUCUCAUCUGAGUAGUCUACAGGUCCUAGCCGACACAACGUCUCUGAUAUUCUCAGAGACCUAAAAGGACAUGGAUAUGAAGCCUCUGAUGAUUCUCCUCCUGCUAGCAGCUGUCACCACCACCGCCCCUGCAGCAGCUGUCACCACCACCGCCCCUGCAGCAGCUGGGACCACCACCGC
Oncorhynchus keta (chum salmon) is the source of this 203-nucleotide long non-coding RNA. RefSeq lists it as uncharacterized. The transcript has 3 exons. The record is from RefSeq and is a predicted model, not a curated record. NCBI's taxonomy places the organism in Eukaryota, Metazoa, Chordata, Actinopteri, Salmoniformes, Salmonidae.